CGGACGGGUGAGUAACGCGUGGGUAACCUGCCUUACACAGGGGGAUAACACUUAGAAAUAGGUGCUAAUACCGCAUAAGCGCACAGCUUCGCAUGAAGCGGUGUGAAAAACUCUGGUGGUAUACGAUGGUUCCGCGUCUGAUUAGCUAGUUGGUGGGGUAAUGGCCUACCAAGGCAACGAUCAGUAGCCGGCCUGAGAGGGUGAACGGCCACAUUGGGACUGAGACACGGCCCAAACUCCUACGGGAGGCAGCAG
RNAcentral lists this ribosomal RNA (255 nucleotides) under uncultured bacterium. RNAcentral's name for it is "partial 16S ribosomal RNA". It matches the Rfam family "Bacterial small subunit ribosomal RNA", at positions 99 to 354 of the family's 1533-position model. The record is from RNAcentral.